Pelobates cultripes (western spadefoot toad) is the source of this 228-nucleotide non-coding RNA. NCBI's taxonomy places the organism in Eukaryota, Metazoa, Chordata, Amphibia, Anura, Pelobatidae. The record is from the annotation of a GenBank genome assembly.
AUUGUUGCUCAUGAAUUGGAGAUAAGUUGCUAUCUACAAUUAUAUUUAUCUAUGGUACUUUAAAUUGAGCAUACAGCUUAACCUCUACAUGCAAAUUACUAUAUGUGCAUAUAAUUCCAUGUCAACAUUUUUCUGUGUGGGAGUUUUCCCGGGUGAACAAUUUUCCAUGUGAGUAUUUUUCAAUGUGAGCAAUUUUCUGUGUGGCCAUUUUUCUUGUAUGCAUUUAUG